Molecule: non-coding RNA, 24 nt
Filed under: Drosophila melanogaster (fruit fly)
Lineage: Eukaryota; Metazoa; Arthropoda; Insecta; Diptera; Drosophilidae
Also listed under: 3 other names
Source: RNAcentral
GGCCACGCCCGUCUGAGGGUCGGC